AUUGGAGGGCAAGUCUGGUGCCAGCAGCCGCGGUAAUUCCAGCUCCAGUAGCGUAUAUUAAAGUUGUUGCAGUUAAAAAGCUCGUAGUUGAACUUUGGGUCUGGUUGGCCGGUCCGAUUUUAUGUCGCGCACUGGUUUUCAACCGGAUCUUUCCUUCUGGCUAACCUGUACUCCUUGUGGGUGCAGGCGAACCAGGACUUUUACUUUGAAAAAAUUAGAGUGUUCAAAGCAGGCGAAAGCUCGAAUAUAUUAGCAUGGAAUAAUGGAAUAGGACGUUUGGUUCUAUUUUGUUGGUUUCUAGGACCAUCGUAAUGAUUAAUAGGGACGGUCGGGGGCAUCAGUAUUCAAUUGUCAGAGGUGAAAUUCUUGGAUUUAUUGAAGACUAACUACUGCGAAAGCAUUUGCCAAGGACGUUUUCAUUAAUCAAGAACGAAAGUUAGGGGAUCGAAGAUGAUCAGAUACCGUCGUAGUCUUAACCAUAAACUAUGCCGACUAGGGAUCGG
RNAcentral lists this ribosomal RNA (503 nucleotides) under Kluyveromyces marxianus. RNAcentral describes it as "SSU rRNA". It matches the Rfam family "Eukaryotic small subunit ribosomal RNA", at positions 547 to 1056 of the family's 1831-position model. The record is from RNAcentral. Lineage: Eukaryota; Fungi; Ascomycota; Saccharomycetes; Saccharomycetales; Saccharomycetaceae.